GGCCUGAUGGUCUAGAGGUAUGAUUCACCCUUAGGGUUUCUCCAAUGGGUGAGGUCCCCGGUUCGAUUCCGGGUUAGGCCC
This is a non-coding RNA of Gautieria morchelliformis, 81 nucleotides long. The record is from the annotation of a GenBank genome assembly. NCBI's taxonomy places the organism in Eukaryota, Fungi, Basidiomycota, Agaricomycetes, Gomphales, Gomphaceae.